Molecule: non-coding RNA, 24 nt
Filed under: Arabidopsis thaliana (thale cress)
Lineage: Eukaryota; Viridiplantae; Streptophyta; Magnoliopsida; Brassicales; Brassicaceae
Source: RNAcentral
GAUGAUGUGUCAUUUAUAUGGAGA